RNAcentral lists this ribosomal RNA (492 nucleotides) under uncultured bacterium. Its description in RNAcentral is "partial 16S ribosomal RNA". It matches the Rfam family "Bacterial small subunit ribosomal RNA", at positions 29 to 507 of the family's 1533-position model. The record is from RNAcentral.
AGUGAACGCUGGCGGUAGGCCUAACACAUGCAAGUCGAACGGCAGCACAGUAAGAGCUUGCUCUUACGGGUGGCGAGUGGCGGACGGGUGAGGAAUACAUCGGAAUCUACUUUUUCGUGGGGGAUAACGUAGGGAAACUUCCGCUAAUACCGCAUACGACCUACGGGUGAAAGCAGGGGAUCUUCGGACCUUGCGCGAUUGAAUGAGCCGAUGUCGGAUUAGCUAGUUGGCGGGGUAAAGGCCCACCAAGGCGACGAUCCGUAGCUGGUCUGAGAGGAUGAUCGGCCACACUGGAACUGAGACACGGUCCAGACUCCUACGGGAGGCAGCAGAGGGGAAUAUUGGACAAGGGGCGCAAGCCUGAUCCAGCCAUACCGCGUGGGUGAAGAAGGCCUUCGGGUUUUAAAGCCCUUUUGUUGGGAAAGAAAAGCAGCAGGUUAAUACCCCGCUGUUCUGACGGUACCCAAAGAAUAAGCACCGGCUAACUUCGUG